GCUCCCAGACACUGCCAAGAAAAAUGUUUUGCUCUAUGGCUACUCUCUGUCAUGUGGCACACGUUAUUCAAAAAUGUGCUCACAAAAAACCUUGGCAACUAUUCAACUGCCGGCACCAGCAAAAGUUUCACAGUAUAGAAUUGGUCUUCUUUUAUGCACUCAAACUUUUAUAUCAAAGAAGCGAAUAAACAUGCUCCCUUAAAUUGAGGUAAAAGAUGUCGUAUGCCAUCGACAUGGUCACAAUAGGAUAAAUUCUUUGUUAGGUUGAAAAUUUUAUCAUACCAAAGCUCAAAUUACAGGUCUAACUGCAAACUAACAUAAAAUUUGAAAACAAACCACUCCCGCGUUGAUAAACUUGGAAGACAGACAAAAAUGUUAUACAUAAUAGAAUUGCCAGAGCUCGUUGCACACCUUUGUCUAUUACCCUUCUAAAUACAUACAUAGUGAGUAACUUCAAAAAUGUUCCAGUCACGAAUGUAUCUUUAGCCAGUAAACAUUUGAGGCAAGUCAAACCUUCAUUAUCAAGGCACAGCUGCAUAAUCACUCAAAGACAUUUGGGAAAUUUUUAUUAACAAGGACACAUUUCUCUUUAAACUUCAUUGCUAAGCAAUCCAAAAACUAUUUCAUGCACUUCAGAAGUUACCGUCCUCCAACAAAAUUUGAUUAAUCAAUGAACUCUAUUGUUCCCCCAUCAACACUGUACACAUCGGACUUUUAGGGAUUCUUCUUCGCAAGACAACGGUCCAUGUGGAUUUUCAGGUUGCCUUUCUGAGAAAACCGUGCAUUGCAGUGGUCACAGGAAAAGGGACACUCUCCUGUGUGGGUGCGCAUGUGUCUAAUGAGGGUCUUUUUCAGCGAGAAGGAUGCACCGCAGCGGUCACAGGAAAAGGGACGCUCUCCUGUGUGGGUGCGAAUGUGCCCUGCGAGAUUAGUGUUAUGAGAGAAUGCGGCUGGACACAGGUGGCAUUGGAAGGGACGCUCGCCC
Long non-coding RNA from Rhipicephalus sanguineus (brown dog tick), 985 nucleotides. RefSeq lists it as uncharacterized. Lineage: Eukaryota; Metazoa; Arthropoda; Arachnida; Ixodida; Ixodidae. The record is from RefSeq and is a predicted model, not a curated record. The transcript is spliced from 4 exons.